UAGAACCUCAAUACCUCAUGCAGAAAAUAUCGGUGCAAGACAAUGUCAUAAAUAAGCUAAAUAAUCUCAAAAUUAUGAGGUGUCGUCUCAUGGUUGACUCUUCUGAAUAUAAACUUCUACAGAUGUUUAAAAAAUGUAGGUUUCUUUUGACUGCGUCGCAUAUUCAGCUAGAUACAUACAGAACUCAUCAGGAAAAAUAUGUUAAAAACAUGUUUAACCAUUUGCAUUUCUACUUAUCUUUUGUAGGAGAAAGGAAUGUCACUUUGUAUAUGAGAAAGUGCAACCAUCACAGAUCCGUUACAAUACAGUUUUAUGUAAUCAAGUAUGUGUUUCAAACAGAUGACAUGAUUCCAUUUGUCUACUUUUGUCGCACUGUUUGGUUGAUUUAUUCUCUGCUGAAUGAGUAGAAACACAUCAGAAUGAAUUUCGAUACAACCUGAGUUUUCUAUGCUAUUUACAACAUCCAUCAUGGACAAAAUUUUAGAGGCAACAUUUCAUAUGCAGGGUCAAUUGCCCCUGGAUGAAACAAAAUUCACAGGAUACCAGAUAAUUCAUCUCUGUGACUUUCACUGAAUGCAGAUAUUACUUUUUAAUAGCUUGUAAUUGCAGAAGAUUAUCAUAGGGUACAUGAAUUUCAAGUUGCGUUCGCUAGACUGACAGGAGAAAUGUAAUGUACUUGGCUAGGUAGCUCUCAGGAUUUGCUAAGGAAAACACACAAAGUUGAGUAGAUUGUAGACAAAUAUCCAUUUGCUAGCUCGAUUUAGCAAGAUCCUUCAAAGAGCUGCACAAUCCCCACUUACCCCAAACACUGCAAGCGAAUCCA
This 823-nucleotide unclassified non-coding RNA is filed under the name Zea mays. Its description in RNAcentral is "misc RNA Zm00001eb037830". The record is from RNAcentral. Lineage: Eukaryota; Viridiplantae; Streptophyta; Magnoliopsida; Poales; Poaceae.